CAGUAGCCGCGGGAAUACGGAGGGUGCAAGCGUUACUCGGAAUCACUGGGCGUAAAGGACGCGUAGGCGGAUUAUCAAGUCUCUUGUGAAAUCCUAUGGCUUAACCAUAGAACUGCUUGGGAAACUGGUAAUCUAGAGUGAGGGAGAGGCAGAUGGAAUUGGUGGUGUAGGGGUAAAAUCCGUAGAGAUCACCAGGAAUACCCAUUGCGAAGGCGAUCUGCUGGAACUCAACUGACGCUAAUGCGUGAAAGCGUGGGGAGCAAACAGGAUUAGAUACCCGAGUAGUCCCUGUCUCUUAUAC
Molecule: ribosomal RNA, 301 nt
Filed under: uncultured bacterium
Lineage: Bacteria
Description: partial 16S ribosomal RNA
Rfam family: Bacterial small subunit ribosomal RNA
Source: RNAcentral